This 262-nucleotide ribosomal RNA is filed under the name uncultured bacterium. Its description in RNAcentral is "partial 16S ribosomal RNA". It matches the Rfam family "Bacterial small subunit ribosomal RNA", at positions 513 to 774 of the family's 1533-position model. The record is from RNAcentral.
GGCCGCGGUAAGACAGAGGGUGCAAACGUUGUUCGGAAUUACUGGGCGUAAAGCGAGUGUAGGCGGUCUGUAAAGUCAGGUGUGAAAGCCCCGGGCUCAACCCGGGAAGUGCACUUGAAACUCACAGGCUAGAGUAUCGGAGAGGUUGGUGGAAUUCUCGGUGUAGAGGUGAAAUUCGUAGAUAUCGAGAGGAACACCGGUGGCGAAGGCGGCCAACUGGACGAAUACUGACGCUGAGGUGCGAAAGCGUGGGGAGCGAACA